This 505-nucleotide ribosomal RNA is filed under the name Escherichia coli. RNAcentral's name for it is "bacterial SSU rRNA". It matches the Rfam family "Bacterial small subunit ribosomal RNA", at positions 30 to 523 of the family's 1533-position model. The record is from RNAcentral. Lineage: Bacteria; Pseudomonadati; Pseudomonadota; Gammaproteobacteria; Enterobacterales; Enterobacteriaceae.
AUUGAACGCUGGCGGCAGGCCUAACACAUGCAAGUCGAACGGUAACAGGAAGAGCUUGCUUCUUUGCUGACGAGUGGCGGACGGGUGAGUAAUGUCUGGGAAACUGCCUGAUGGAGGGGGAUAACUACUGGAAACGGUAGCUAAUACCGCAUAACGUCGCAAGACCAAAGAGGGGGACCUUCGGGCCUCUUGCCAUCGGAUGUGCCCAGAUGGGAUUAGCUAGUAGGUGGGGUAACGGCUCACCUAGGCGACGAUCCCUAGCUGGUCUGAGAGGAUGACCAGCCACACUGGAACUGAGACACGGUCCAGACUCCUACGGGAGGCAGCAGUGGGGAAUAUUGCACAAUGGGCGCAAGCCUGAUGCAGCCAUGCCGCGUGUAUGAAGAAGGCCUUCGGGUUGUAAAGUACUUUCAGCGGGGAGGAAGGGAGUAAAGUUAAUACCUUUCCUCAUUGACGUUACCCGCAGAAGAAGCACCGGCUAACUCCGUGCCAGCAGCCGCGAUCG